Molecule: unclassified non-coding RNA, 161 nt
Filed under: uncultured Capnodiales
Lineage: Eukaryota; Fungi; Ascomycota; Dothideomycetes; Capnodiales
Description: sequence contains ITS2
Source: RNAcentral
AAUCCAAUCAAGCCUGGCUUGGUGUUGGGCGCCGGGAGUCCCCCGCGCCUCAAUUUCACCGGCUGGCCGUCGCCCGUCUUAGCGUUGUGACACACGUUUCGCUGACGAGGGGAGCGGACCACGCCGUUAAAACUCCAUGAAUUUCAAUCGAAAUUCGAUUA